RNAcentral lists this ribosomal RNA (400 nucleotides) under uncultured Cellulomonadaceae bacterium. Its description in RNAcentral is "partial 16S ribosomal RNA". Lineage: Bacteria; Bacillati; Actinomycetota; Actinomycetes; Micrococcales; Cellulomonadaceae. The record is from RNAcentral.
GGGAACGUAUUCACCGCAGCGUUGCUGAUCUGCGAUUACUAGCGACUCCGACUUCAUGAGGUCGAGUUGCAGACCUCAAUCCGAACUGAGACCGGCUUUUUGGGAUUCGCUCCGCCUUACGACAUCGCAGCCCUUUGUACCGGCCAUUGUAGCAUGCGUGAAGCCCAAGACAUAAGGGGCAUGAUGAUUUGACGUCAUCCCCACCUUCCUCCGAGUUGACCCCGGCAGUCUCUUAUGAGUCCCCACCAUGACGUGCUGGCAACAUAAGACGAGGGUUGCGCUCGUUGCGGGACUUAACCCAACAUCUCACGACACGAGCUGACGACAACCAUGCACCACCUGUACACCGACCUUGCGGGGCAACCAUCUCUGGAAGUUUCCGGUGUAUGUCAAGCCUUGG